This 901-nucleotide ribosomal RNA is filed under the name Citrobacter sp. NCCP-1744. Its description in RNAcentral is "bacterial SSU rRNA". It matches the Rfam family "Bacterial small subunit ribosomal RNA", at positions 56 to 940 of the family's 1533-position model. Lineage: Bacteria; Pseudomonadati; Pseudomonadota; Gammaproteobacteria; Enterobacterales; Enterobacteriaceae. The record is from RNAcentral.
UGCAGUCGAACGGUAACAGGAAGCAGCUUGCUGCUUUGCUGACGAGUGGCGGACGGGUGAGUAAUGUCUGGGAAACUGCCCGAUGGAGGGGGAUAACUACUGGAAACGGUAGCUAAUACCGCAUAAUGUCGCAAGACCAAAGAGGGGGACCUUCGGGCCUCUUGCCAUCGGAUGUGCCCAGAUGGGAUUAGCUUGUUGGUGAGGUAACGGCUCACCAAGGCGACGAUCCCUAGCUGGUCUGAGAGGAUGACCAGCCACACUGGAACUGAGACACGGUCCAGACUCCUACGGGAGGCAGCAGUGGGGAAUAUUGCACAAUGGGCGCAAGCCUGAUGCAGCCAUGCCGCGUGUAUGAAGAAGGCCUUCGGGUUGUAAAGUACUUUCAGCGGGGAGGAAGGUGUUGUGGUUAAUAACCUUAGCCAUUGACGUUACCCGCAGAAGAAGCACCGGCUAACUCCGUGCCAGCAGCCGCGGUAAUACGGAGGGUGCAAGCGUUAAUCGGAAUUACUGGGCGUAAAGCGCACGCAGGCGGUCUGUCAAGUCGGAUGUGAAAUCCCCGGGCUCAACCUGGGAACUGCAUUCGAAACUGGCAGGCUUGAGUCUCGUAGAGGGGGGUAGAAUUCCAGGUGUAGCGGUGAAAUGCGUAGAGAUCUGGAGGAAUACCGGUGGCGAAGGCGGCCCCCUGGACGAAGACUGACGCUCAGGUGCGAAAGCGUGGGGAGCAAACAGGAUUAGAUACCCUGGUAGUCCACGCCGUAAACGAUGUCUAUUUUGGAGGUUGUGCCCCUUGAGGCGUGGCUUCCCGGAGCUAACGCGUUAAAUAGACCGCCCGGGGGAGUACGGCCGCAAGGUUAAAACUCAAAUGAAAUUGACCGGGGGCCCGCACCAAGCGGUGGAACCA